CAGGGACACUGAUAAGGUCUGCUCUCAGUUUUCACACCUUGAGCCUGAACAGGCUCAGCUCUCUCAGCCUUUUUUGGUGAGAGAUAUACUCUAGAACUUUGACCAACAUAGAAGCUCUCUGCUGGACCUGCUCAAGGAUCUCCACAUCUCUCUUGGCACCAGUCAAGCAUUUCUUGCCUGUCCAAGGACAUCAAGUGCAAACAGCCCCUUUACCACAACUUGUUUUGGACUCAAGGUCAUUCUAUCUCCAGCUGGAAUUUUCUUCUCUGGAUAAAGAAGCAGUUUGUCCAGAUUUUUUUCAUGUUUUCUAGUCUACUGAACUUCUUGGCUUUAAUCAAGUAAGAUACCCUCUUUUUGAGAUGCAGUGUCCAAAAUUGGACCCAGUAGUUUCAGGAACUUUUUGUCUGUGUAAAGCAGAAAACAUGUAUUGUGUCUCCUUGCCAUCUUACAGCCCCAUCAUGUAGGCAGGUGGGCUGUCACUUAAUGCUGUGUCUAGGUACUGCUAGUACCUAGAAAUGUCUAUUUCUAUUUAAAUAUAUAUUUUCACCCACCUUAGAUUCACCCCAAUUGAGUUACAUACUAUUUUUUUUCAGUCCAUAUCUCUACUGUCAACAAUAUGUGGAAUGUUAAUCCAGACUUUCAACCUCCUUGCAGCAGCACUGAUAAGCAUGAUCUCUGCUCCACUAUUCAGAAACCUCUAGAGUUCUGUCAUCGUGUUACAAUUAAUUCCAAAUUCAGAAAGAGAUUAAUAUGGUGCAAGAGGAAAGAACUUGAUUCCAUGUCUGACUAACAUGUGACAUGAGAGGGACUAUUUCAUACAUCUAUUUGAGGUAUUCCAGUUUCAUUCCUCUGCUGUGACAAGGGAGCACAGAAAAGGUAUCAUGGGGUGGUGGAUUGUCUUGUUUUAUACCACCAGCAAAGUAAAAAAGAAAUUAUAAAUAUUUUUGCCUUCUCAUCUUCAAUAGUGACACCUUAAGGAAAAGAGGAGCAACUCCUCCAAAAGCUCUGUACACCUUUACUCCUGUAUUAUUAUAUAUAUUAUAAAUAAUAUAUUAUAUAUACAUUGUGCAUUAUAUAUUUACAUUAUACAUUAUAAAUAAUAUAUUAUAUACAGUAUUAUUAAGAUAUGAUAUGAUAUGAUAUGAUAUGAUAUGAUAUGAUAUGAUAUGAUAUGAUAUUACUGUGUUGGUAGGCUCACAUAUGCACACUUUCAGAGCUCACUCACACUGCAUGAAACACUCUGUUAAUCCCUGAAUAAUUUACAUAGACACAUUUGAUUUUCUCUCUAAUUUUUCAGUGCUGAUGCUAUCCCUUCCAGAAAUCUCAGAGAUGUUGGCAAUGCAUACUGGGAGUUGAGGUGAUGCAGAAGUAUUUAAAUAAAGGAACUGGCCCAAGGAAGUCA
This 1402-nucleotide long non-coding RNA is filed under the name Cyanistes caeruleus (blue tit). Its description in RNAcentral is "lncRNA (ENSCCEG00000011957.1)". The record is from RNAcentral. Lineage: Eukaryota; Metazoa; Chordata; Aves; Passeriformes; Paridae.